GCAGAAUUGAUCUGAGUUGUUAAUUUAUAGAGCAAUUCUACGGUUCUUGAGGAGGUACCAUGAGGUAAUUAAAAAAAUAGUGUAAAAUCUGGUACCUCAUAGUACCUAAGUAACAAGAGGUACCAAAUUUACAGUGGAAAAAGUGGUACCUCAUGGUACCUUCUUCCUUAAGGACCUAAAAUUGCUAUAAUUUAUAAGGUCAUAUCAGUG
RNAcentral lists this unclassified non-coding RNA (210 nucleotides) under Oryza sativa (Asian cultivated rice). RNAcentral's name for it is "partial microRNA MIR440c-1 precursor". The record is from RNAcentral. Lineage: Eukaryota; Viridiplantae; Streptophyta; Magnoliopsida; Poales; Poaceae.